UAGAAGGUAGUAUAUUGGUAGUAUAGAAAGUUUUGGGCUUUCUGGUUCAAGUUCAAGUCUUGACUUUCUAG
Molecule: transfer RNA, 71 nt
Filed under: Ptyas major (Chinese green snake)
Lineage: Eukaryota; Metazoa; Chordata; Lepidosauria; Squamata; Colubridae
Description: tRNA-Gln
Rfam family: tRNA
About the family: Transfer RNA (tRNA) molecules are approximately 80 nucleotides in length.
Source: RNAcentral